Molecule: ribosomal RNA, 478 nt
Filed under: uncultured bacterium
Lineage: Bacteria
Description: partial 16S ribosomal RNA
Rfam family: Bacterial small subunit ribosomal RNA
Source: RNAcentral
GACGAACGCUGGCGGCGUGCUUAACACAUGCAAGUCGAACGGUAAGGCCCUUCGGGGUACACGAGUGGCGAACGGGUGAGUAACACGUGGGUGAUCUGCCCUGCACUUCGGGAUAAGCCUGGGAAACUGGGUCUAAUACCGGAUAGGACUCCGGCCUGCAUGGUCUGGGGUGGAAAGCUUUUGCGGUGUGGGAUGGGGCCGCGGCCUAUCAGCUUGGUGGUGGGGUGAUGGCCUACCAAGGCGACGAAGGGUAGCCGGUCUGAGAGGGGGACCGGCCACACUGGGACUGAGAUACGGCCCAGACUCCUACGGGAGGCAGCAGUGGGGAAUAUUGCACAAUGGGCGCAAGCCUGAUGCAGCGACGCCGCGUGAGGGAUGACGGCCUUCGGGUUGUAAACCUCUUUCAGCAUCGACGAAGCGAAAGUGACGGUAGGUGCAGAAGAAGGACCGGCCAACUACGUGCCAGCAGCCGCCGUAA